Molecule: long non-coding RNA, 973 nt
Organism: Neofelis nebulosa (Clouded leopard)
Lineage: Eukaryota; Metazoa; Chordata; Mammalia; Carnivora; Felidae
Exons: 3
Source: RefSeq, a predicted model, not a curated record
CGCUUCCUGUAACUACCAGCUGUUGAGUUAAGUAAGCUUUUGUGCGUAUAUUCUCCCUAAUCACCUUGUCUAAAGUAAGACAAUAACAUAAAAAUGGCUUUGGACAUUUAAGAGAAUUGCUCAUACCCAAACAAACCAUAUGAUGUAAAAAUCAACUGUGGAACCAAAUCAAGAUUGGAUCAAAGAGCUGAUUGACUGUAGGCCUCCACGUCUGCCACCUAAACAGCCACCGAACUUCAUCAUCCUGGCUAGAUCCCAAAGGUAAACUGUCAUAAUAUACCUAGGACCUGAGAAGUCUGUUUCAAGCAGUUGCGCAGGAUGAGCCUACUCUCCAGUGGUGCCCACCAGUCUGAUGAAACCACUGCUUGCCCAUGAGACAUUAUGUGGGUUAUAAAGAUGGUCGAAGGAAUAUUUCCACUGAGGUCUGAUCUCCAUGACCACCAAGACAGAAGCAAGCCCUGCCAACCUUCCCAGGUGGAAGGAGAAUUUGAAGACAUAUCCUGUGCGAUAUUCUAUCUGUUCCCCUGAAGUGCAUGAAAGCCAAGAAGGCCAUUGAUCCCACACAGAAGUACCAAUGGCAGGGAUGCUGAGAAUCUACCAAAUAAAUCCAUAUUUUCUUUUUAUCUCAUGGGUUCUGACUUUGUAAGCGUCAUGACCCAUAAGAUAUGGCUUCUAUGUGCAUUGAUUCAUUCAUCAAACCUUUUACUGAGUAUUUCUAGAAGAAUCCAGCUCCCACAAUUUUGAAUUCAGUUCCUUAACUGUUACAAAUCUGUAACAGCAAACCUACUCGCAUCUACAAACGUUGAAAUAACUUUAAAAUCACAAAUAAGAUACAGACUGUGCUGCAUCUUCAAGUUAAUAACUUCAAUUCUCCCUGCUGAACUCAAAAUGCAUUCUCUUUCUUUCUCAGUAAUACCUGGUCCUCUACUUUUCUUUAUUAUUGUAGUGGUCUUAAAUUCUAAUCAUUUAUUUU